UACAGUUUGCGAUAGUAUUUCUCUC
RNAcentral lists this non-coding RNA (25 nucleotides) under Cricetulus griseus (Chinese hamster). Lineage: Eukaryota; Metazoa; Chordata; Mammalia; Rodentia; Cricetidae. The record is from RNAcentral.